UAUUGUGUUAUCCGAAGUUGAG
Molecule: non-coding RNA, 22 nt
Filed under: Arabidopsis thaliana (thale cress)
Lineage: Eukaryota; Viridiplantae; Streptophyta; Magnoliopsida; Brassicales; Brassicaceae
Source: RNAcentral